UUAACCUCGAUGAACCGCGCAGAGUGCAGUUUCACAUCGUGCUCGGGACCAGCGACGGCACCAGGUCGUGCACGAUUGGGAUGAGAAUAUCGAUGGCCGAAAAAGACAGCAAAGCGCCUCCUCCUAUCCAGCACAUCCAAGACUCAACACGGUGCAGCGAAGAAAUUAAAGAGAUCUUGCUGCAAAGCGUGCCCCAGCGCUCGUAAUCGAUAAUGUUGUGCGUGAAAGGGGAACAAAUCUUCCACAAUCCAGCACGCAAACGUUGAUGGCUUCUUGCACCAUAACUGAUUCGAUUCCGGCAAUCUGUCUUCUGGACAGAGAUCUGCUUUUACUCAAAUAAGGAACCACCACUUCAUUGCCACCAUAAAUCACCUCUUUUAGCCAAUUCUGAUCUGUUCCUGAUGGACGGAUAUACUCCGGAAAACGCUUCUCCACGGCUUCACUCCACUCCAAACUUCCAACGCUGACGUAGCGUUGGGCGUCGGCAGCAUGGCACGUUGUCUCGCUUGGCUCGCAUCACUAGAAGAACCCCGGGUAACAAGAACCACGGCUGCUUAAACACGUUUAUUUAUUUGACCUUUAGGCAAGAGGUCUUCCAAACACUUAACCCAAAACCGUUCGCCGCCUCAUCUUUUCCGCCAGCGCCAACCUUCAACGCAUCCCUCACAAAACCAUGAUCUAAUCGAUCACGAAUGCAUCGCGGCCAUCUUCGGCGGAGACGUGAACCCUCUGCUGUUCCCGAAACGCCUCUGCCGCGAAAUGUAAAAGCAUAAUGUCGAUAAUGUUUUCCGUGCCGAGCGACAUCCAACCAAAUGUCAACCACCCUCCACACCGAAUGACACCAGAUGUGUGCAAAAUGUUGAUGCUAAGGCUAAGGCGGAAAGAAUGCAUUAAACCGCAACCCAUAAGCCACACCAGCACCGUCAUGAUGGAGGGAUGUACUCUCGGCGAUGUUGGUGUAGAACAAGAAGAGAAAUUAAAGUGGCGAGAAAGAAACACAUGCCGAACGCUAAAAACUAUCCAAAGCGUAAAGACAAAAUGGGUGUAAGAGCGCAUGGAGCUCUAAGGCCACGAGGAAACGCGGCAGGGCCAGUGGAACGGUUUACGAAUUUCAUUAUCAUAUAAUCAAGUGGGUUUUGCUGUUUGCUGUUUGCCUUGUUCCAGGCACUAUAACUCUUUCGUUCACCCGGAGGUUUUGGAUUAUUGAAAUCGCGCUUCUUGUGCGCGCCGGAAGGACUGUGGUGAUGGGGAAGUUGCUGACGGUGGUAGAUGGCGAUGGAAGGCAGACACGCUGGCAACGCACCAUUCGCGAGUGGGUUGGCGCGCGAUGGAACCGUGAAGCAUAGCGUUCCUCUUACUAUUUCACUUCUUCAACCCCUCAUUAGAUUAACCGCAGAGGAGUAUGUAGAAGGGUACUCUGCUGGAAGAGUUACUCGAGGGAGCGCGAGUAAUAAAAAACAAUGAGCAUUUGUUUAUGAUUGAACCAUUGAAGCUAUUCGAC
Molecule: long non-coding RNA, 1501 nt
Organism: Anopheles stephensi (Asian malaria mosquito)
Lineage: Eukaryota; Metazoa; Arthropoda; Insecta; Diptera; Culicidae
Exons: 3
Source: RefSeq, a predicted model, not a curated record